UACGUAGGGACCAAGCGUUGUUCGGAUUUACUGGGCGUAAAGGGCGCGUAGGCGGCGUGACAAGUCACUUGUGAAAUCUCCGGGCUUAACUCGGAACGGUCAAGUGAUACUGUUGUGCUAGAGUACAGAAGGGGCAAUCGGAAUUCUUGGUGUAGCGGUGAAAUGCGUAGAUAUCAGGAGGAACACCGGUGGCGAAGGCGGUUCUCUGGGCAUUACCUGACGCUGAGGAGCGAAAGUGUGGGGAGCGAACAGG
Molecule: ribosomal RNA, 253 nt
Filed under: uncultured bacterium
Lineage: Bacteria
Description: partial 16S ribosomal RNA
Rfam family: Bacterial small subunit ribosomal RNA
Source: RNAcentral